GGUGAACGCUGGCGGCGUGCCUAAGACAUGCAAGUCGAGCGGGCCGCGGGGUUUUACUCCGUGGUCAGCGGCGGACGGGUGAGUAACGCGUGGGUGACCUACCCGGAAGAGGGGGACAACCCGGGGAAACUCGGGCUAAUCCCCCAUGUGGACCCGCCCCUUGGGGUGUGUCCAAAGGGCUUUUCCCGCUUCGGGAUGGGCCCGUGUCCCAUCAGCUAGUUGGUGGGGGAAUGGCCCACCAAGGCGACGGCGGGUAGCCGGACUGAGCGGGUGGGCGGCGAGAGGGGAACCGAGACACGGGCCCAACUCCCACGGGAGGCAGCAGGUAGGAAGCUUCAAGAAUGGGCGCAAGCCUGACGGAGGGACGCCGAUUGGAGGAAGAAGCCAUUCGGGGUGUAAACUAAUGAAACCGGGACGAAACACCCGACGAGGGGACUGAGGGUACCGGGGGAAUAGCGCCGGCCAACUCCGUG
Molecule: ribosomal RNA, 473 nt
Filed under: uncultured bacterium
Lineage: Bacteria
Description: partial 16S ribosomal RNA
Rfam family: Bacterial small subunit ribosomal RNA
Source: RNAcentral